AUGAAUUGGACGUCUAAGAAGAGUUGGUUUGGCUAAAAAUGCUUCAUCAUGCAGUUAUAGGUUUCUAAGGGAUAUUUGAUCAUUUCAAUAUCAUUGUUUGAAAGAAAAAUUCCCUGAAGAACUGUAGUGUUUCUUUCUGGCAACCGUUUGUAUGAUAUAAUGGGCAAGUGACCAAAAGAUUUAUCAAAACAAAAUUUAUAAUUAUGGCCACUUAUUUGGAGAUGCAUUAUUAUGGCCUAUACUUCAUG
RNAcentral lists this unclassified non-coding RNA (248 nucleotides) under Hevea brasiliensis (rubber tree). Lineage: Eukaryota; Viridiplantae; Streptophyta; Magnoliopsida; Malpighiales; Euphorbiaceae. The record is from RNAcentral.